GCAAGUCGUGCGAGAAAGUAUCUUCGGAUAUGAGUAGAGCGGCGGACGGGUGAGUAACGCGUAGGAAUCUACCUAGUAGAAGGGGAUAGCCCGGGGAAACCCGGAUUAAUACCGUAUACCUCCUUCGGGAGAAAGAAGGCCUCUCUUUGAAGCUUUCGCUACUAGAUGAGCCUGCGUAAGAUUAGCUUGUUGGUGAGGUAAAGGCUCACCAAGGCUACGAUCUUUAGCUGGUCUGAGAGGACGACCAGCCACAUUGGGACUGAGACACGGCCCAGACUCCUACGGGAGGCAGCAGUGGGGAAUAUUGGACAAUGGGCGCAAGCCUGAUCCAGCCAUACCGCGUGUGUGAAGAAGGCCUUCGGGUUGUAAAGCACUUUAAGCAGGGAGAAAAAGUUAUAAGCUAAUACCUUAUGACCUUGAUGUUACCUGCAGAAUAAGCACCGGCUAAUUCCGUACCAGCAGCCGCGGUAAUACGGAAGGUGCAAGCGUUAAUCGGAAUUACUGGGCGUAAAGCGCGCGUAGGUGGUUUGUUAAGUUGGAUGUGAAAGCCCUGGGCUCAACCUAGGAACUGCAUCCAAAACUAACUCACUAGAGUACGAUAGAGGGAGGUAGAAUUCAUAGUGUAGCGGUGGAAUGCGUAGAUAUUAUGAAGAAUACCAGUGGCGAAGGCGGCCUCCUGGAUCUGUACUGACACUGAGGUGCGAAAGCGUGGGUAGCGAACAGGAUUAGAUACCCUGGUAGUCCACGCCGUAAACGAUGACAACUAGCUGUUGGGAGACUACGUCU
Molecule: ribosomal RNA, 786 nt
Filed under: uncultured Gammaproteobacteria bacterium
Lineage: Bacteria; Pseudomonadati; Pseudomonadota; Gammaproteobacteria
Description: bacterial SSU rRNA
Rfam family: Bacterial small subunit ribosomal RNA
Source: RNAcentral